This 601-nucleotide ribosomal RNA is filed under the name uncultured bacterium. RNAcentral's name for it is "bacterial SSU rRNA". It matches the Rfam family "Bacterial small subunit ribosomal RNA", at positions 730 to 1336 of the family's 1533-position model. The record is from RNAcentral.
UGGGCUUUAACUGACGCUGAGGCACGAAAGCGUGGGUAGCAAACAGGAUUAGAUACCCUGGUAGUCCACGCUGUAAACGAUGAUUACUAGGUGUGGGGGGUCUGACCCCUUCCGUGCCGCAGUUAACACAAUAAGUAAUCCACCUGGGGAGUACGGCCGCAAGGUUGAAACUCAAAGGAAUUGACGGGGGCCCGCACAAGCAGUGGAGUAUGUGGUUUAAUUCGAAGCAACGCGAAGAACCUUACCAGGUCUUGACAUCCUAAGGAUCCUUUAGAGAUAAGGGAGUGCCCUUCGGGGAAUUUAGAGACAGGUGGUGCAUGGUUGUCGUCAGCUCGUGUCGUGAGAUGUUGGGUUAAGUCCCGCAACGAGCGCAACCCUUACUGUUAGUUGCUACGCAAGAGCACUCUAGCAGGACUGCCGUUGACAAAACGGAGGAAGGUGGGGAUGACGUCAAAUCAUCAUGCCCCUUAUGACCUGGGCUACACACGUACUACAAUGGCCGUCAACAGAGGGCAGCAAAAUGGUGACAUGGAGCAAAUCCCUAAAAACGGUCUCAGUUCAGACUGCAGGCUGCAACCCGCCUGCACGAAGAUGGAAUGCU